This 87-nucleotide transfer RNA is filed under the name Candidatus Kaiserbacteria bacterium RIFCSPHIGHO2_01_FULL_46_22. RNAcentral describes it as "tRNA-Leu". It matches the Rfam family "tRNA". From Rfam's summary of the family: Transfer RNA (tRNA) molecules are approximately 80 nucleotides in length. Their secondary structure includes four short double-helical elements and three loops (D, anti-codon, and T loops). The record is from RNAcentral. Lineage: Bacteria; Candidatus Kaiseribacteriota.
GCCGGGGUGAUGGAAUGGUAGACAUAGGGGACUUAAAAUCCCCAGACUUAAACAGUCGUGUGGGUUCGAGUCCCACUCCCGGCACAA